AACGAACGCUGGCGGCAGGCCUAACACAUGCAAGUCGAGCGCCCCGCAAGGGGAGCGGCGGACGGGUGAGUAACGCGUGGGAACGUACCCCUUUCUACGGAAUAGCCUCGGGAAACUGGGAGUAAUACCGUAUAAGCCCUACGGGGGAAAGAUUUAUCGGGAAGGGAUCGGCCCGCGUUGGAUUAGGUAGUUGGUGGGGUAAUGGCCUACCAAGCCGACGAUCCAUAGCUGGUUUGAGAGGAUGAUCAGCCACACUGGGACUGAGACACGGCCCAGACUCCUACGGGAGGCAGCAGUGGGAAUCUUAGACAAUGGGCGCAAGCCUGAUCUAGCCAUGCCGCGUGAGCGAUGAAGGCCUUAGGGUUGUAAAGCUCUUUCAGUGGGGAAGAUAAUGACCGUACCCACAGAAGAAGCCCCGGCUAACUCCGUG
Molecule: ribosomal RNA, 430 nt
Filed under: uncultured bacterium
Lineage: Bacteria
Description: bacterial SSU rRNA
Rfam family: Bacterial small subunit ribosomal RNA
Source: RNAcentral